RNAcentral lists this ribosomal RNA (432 nucleotides) under uncultured bacterium. Its description in RNAcentral is "bacterial SSU rRNA". It matches the Rfam family "Bacterial small subunit ribosomal RNA", at positions 29 to 507 of the family's 1533-position model. The record is from RNAcentral.
AGCGAACGCUGGCGGCAGGCCUAACACAUGCAAGUCGAACGAUCCUUCGGGAUAGUGGCGGACGGGUGAGUAACACGUGGGAACGUGCCUUUUGGUUCGGAACAACUCAGGGAAACUUGAGCUAAUACCGAAUGUGCCCUUCGGGGGAAAGAUUUAUCGCCAUUAGAGCGGCCCGCGUCUGAUUAGCUAGUUGGUGAGGUAAUGGCUCACCAAGGCGACGAUCAGUAGCUGGUCUGAGAGGAUGAUCAGCCACACUGGGACUGAGACACGGCCCAGACUCCUACGGGAGGCAGCAGUGGGGAAUCUUGCGCAAUGGGCGAAAGCCUGACGCAGCCAUGCCGCGUGAAUGAUGAAGGUCUUAGGAUUGUAAAAUUACUUUCACCGGGGACGAUAAUGACGGUACCCGGAGAAGAAGCUCCGGCUAACUUCGUG